UGGGGAAUUUUGCACAAUGGGGGAAACCCUGAUGCAGCGACGCCGCGUGAUUUAGAAGGCCUUCGGGUUGUAAAAAUCUUUUUUACGGGAUGAAAAUGACAGUACCGUAAGAAUAAGGUCCGGCUAAAUACGUGCCAGCAGCCGCGGUAAUACGUAUGGACCGAGCGUUGUCCGGAAUCAUUGGGCGUAAAGGGUAGGUAGGCGGCCUAGUAAGUUAGAAGUGAAAUAAUAUAGCUCAACUAUAUAAAGCUUUUAAAACUGCUAGGCUUGAGAGAUGGAAGGGAAAGUGGAAUUCCUAGUGUAGCGGUGAAAUGCGCAGAUAUUAGGAAGAAUACCGGUGGCGAAGGCGACUUUCUGGUCAUCAUCUGACGCUGAGGUACGAAAGCGUGGGUAGCAAACAGG
RNAcentral lists this ribosomal RNA (402 nucleotides) under bacterium. Its description in RNAcentral is "partial 16S ribosomal RNA". It matches the Rfam family "Bacterial small subunit ribosomal RNA", at positions 355 to 776 of the family's 1533-position model. The record is from RNAcentral.